Non-coding RNA from Potamilus streckersoni, 76 nucleotides. The record is from the annotation of a GenBank genome assembly. NCBI's taxonomy places the organism in Eukaryota, Metazoa, Mollusca, Bivalvia, Unionida, Unionidae.
GACCGUUCGGGUGGCCUAGUGGUUAGAGAGUCCGCCUCAGAUGCGGUGUUUGCGGGUUCAAACCCCGGCCAAGUCA